GACGAACGCUGGAGGCGUGCUUAACACAUGCAAGUCGAACGGAAAGGCCCUGCUUUUGUGGGGUGCUCGAGUGGCGAACGGGUGAGUAACACGUGAGUAACCUGCCCUUGACUUUGGGAUAACUUCAGGAAACUGGGGCUAAUACCGGAUAGGAGCUCCUGCUGCAUGGUGGGGGUUGGAAAGUUUCGGCGGUUGGGGAUGGACUCGCGGCUUAUCAGCUUGUUGGUGGGGUAGUGGCUUACCAAGGCUUUGACGGGUAGCCGGCCUGAGUGGGUGACCGGCCACAUUGGGACUGAGAUACGGCCCAGACUCCUACGGGAGGCAGCAGUGGGGAAUAUUGCACAAUGGGCGGAAGCCUGAUGCAGCAACGCCGCGUGCGGGAUGACGGCCUUCGGGUUGUAAACCGCUUUCGCCUGUGACGAAGCGUGAGUGACGGUAAUGGGUAAAGAAGCACCGGCUAACUACGUG
RNAcentral lists this ribosomal RNA (468 nucleotides) under uncultured bacterium. RNAcentral describes it as "partial 16S ribosomal RNA". It matches the Rfam family "Bacterial small subunit ribosomal RNA", at positions 28 to 507 of the family's 1533-position model. The record is from RNAcentral.